AUGUGGGUCAAUUUGAUCCAUAAAGCAAAUGACGUUGGCUCCUGGACUCUACUUGAGGCUGUCUCUUCGUUUUGUAAGAUGAGACAGUUCCAGAGGUCUUCCACCUGGACCACUUCACCAAAAAGCUUCAUGAUUAAGUUCAUCAAAAGGUCCUCAGGCACCUCAAACUGGAAAGUCCCUAACAAACCACCUUCUUCACCCCUCUCCAAACCUGCUGGUCUGCUGGAGUUCCUCUCUCAGGGUAUGACAGAGUCAUCCAAGCCUUCGUCUUAGACUGUCCUCACUCAUUCUCCACCAACCUCAUUCAUCCCCAUCCCCAACUUCUGCUGGUGCUACUUCGUUAGAUCUCCCUCAAAUUUGUCAUUGUCCCUGCAUUCUGGUCCUCGUAUUUCUCACUUGGAUUACUUUAUCAGUCCUAAAAUGAUUGGUAUCUGCCUCAGUUUGGUCCCCUUCUGUCAUUUUGUUACAUGACACUGUAAAACAGUAUUUUAAAAUAUCAGUUUAUCAAAUUUAUAAUUUGACACAUGCUUCUUGCAGAAAACCUGUAAUAAGAAUUGAAAAAAUAAAGAAAACUUAAAAUGACUUGCA
This 588-nucleotide long non-coding RNA is filed under the name Vulpes vulpes (red fox). Its description in RNAcentral is "lncRNA (ENSVVUG00000014954.1)". The record is from RNAcentral. Lineage: Eukaryota; Metazoa; Chordata; Mammalia; Carnivora; Canidae.